GCAAUACCUGCCUAACCCACUUUAGGUGUCUGACCUGUCCUUUCCGCAUUCUGGGGUCCAGACCAUGUCCUAGACGUUCCUGGUCCCCGAUUCCCUCCCGUUCAACUCCGUUCAGAUGCUCACCUGGCUGGAACACACCUAGCCCAGGCUGAGCUUGGUGGGUAGAUGGGCUCUCUGGUUUUAGCAGCUGACCUGUCUCAUCCCUCUGUCCCCAGUCUAGAGCCUCUGCACUCCCAUUGUCCUAGGUCUCGUAUUGGGCAGAGGGCUCGGCUUCUGACCCGCCCUGCUCACAGGUUCCUGGGCACCGAUUCCCACGACUCCUACUUCUCCAACGGGCAGAGGCAUCGUGUGGUGGCAGAGAUCCUGGCUCGCACAGUCUAUGGGAAGCAGGAACGAGAAGAGAUGGGCAUUGCCCAUCUGCUGGCCGAGGGAGUCUAUGCUGCAGCCUUCCCACUGCAUGAGGUAGAGAUGUCCCAAGCUCAGCUCUCUCCCACUGCUGGGGCAGCAGGAGAGAAUUCUGGGACUUCCCUGCAGCCCUCUCUCCUUUCAUUUCCCUAGGGCCCCUUUGAACUGCCGGGGUACCAGGUGCCUGGUGCAGACCUCAACCCUUGCCAAUUACUGUACUUAUACUGGGCCCACUGGGGAUACUGGCACAAUACCAGCCUCUGGACCACAUACAAGAGUACUUUGGGGAGGAGAUGGCCAUCUACCUUGCCUGGCUAGGGGAGCCUGGCACUGGGAGUGGGGGCUGGGAGCCGGUGUUGAGUACACAGAUGGGGGCUCAUGAGCUUUCUGUCACCCCUUCAGGCUUCUGCGCAGCCUGGCUGCUGCCUGCCACCCUUGUGGGCACCCUGGUCUUUAUCUGUGGUCUGGCCACCAUAGGCACCAACACACCAGCAUGAGUGGCUGUGUUGGGGGGGUUGGCAGAUGGGCUGGGUGGGGAUAGACUCUCCCAGGAUGGGCAUCCUUUGUUCAUAGGGAAGAGAUCUGUGCCAGUGGAGGUGCCUUCCUCAUGUGGCCACUCUGUGACACCUGUGCCACAUGGAAUAUUUCCGAUGAUAGAAGCUUUGGUGAGGUUAGACAUUGGGACCUUUGGAGUCUCAAAGAGAAGCCCUGCCUGGAAUGGGGAAGAAGGGGAGAAGCAUUCCACUCACCAACCCAGCCAGCCAGCUGCCUAUCCAUCCAAACGUCCAAUCAUUGAUUCUGUAUCUGUUUGGUUCCGUCUCCACUGUCACCCUCCAGCCCAAGCCAGCAUUCUCUCACCUGGACCACUGCAGUGGCCUCCCAACAGGUCUCCUUGCUCCUCUGUUUGCCCCACUUAAUCCGUUCUCAGCUGCCA
Molecule: long non-coding RNA, 1339 nt
Filed under: Equus asinus (donkey)
Lineage: Eukaryota; Metazoa; Chordata; Mammalia; Perissodactyla; Equidae
Description: lncRNA (ENSEASG00005015870.2)
Source: RNAcentral